CUGCUUCUCCAGGAAGUUGUACCCUUCAGCACCUGCUGAGGGCUUUGUUGUCCAAACUCUGACAGGUAAAAAAAUUCCUGUAGAAUAAAGCCAGACCAGCUGGCUUUGAAGAGAAACCCCCCAGUUUGGGCUGCGCUUGUCUCUUCUCCUUUUCUAUGAAGACCCAGGCUUUCCCCCCUUGAUCGUCAAGCCGUAAGAUGCGUGAUCCCUGUGCACAAGUGUCUGGCAGGCCGAGGUGCACCUGUUCCUGUCACUCUGGGGUAAAUUUAGCUGUAAAGGUAUCACUGACAACCAGACCUUUGUCAGUGUUGGCAAAAGAACACAGAAUUGCUUCGCUCCCCUCCCCCUUCCAAGCCCCAAUGCUGCUAGUUCAAAUGGAAAAUAUCAAAUUGGAAGUCUAUCCAAAAAUCAUUCCUAAAAAAUGAGAUUGCUUUCAUAUGGUAAAAAAGUAAGUUUCCUCAUUUCACGCAGACUUUAAAAUUACAUUUCCAAGAAUAAUCUUGGAACAAGACAAGUUUUUGUUCAAUUAAUUGUGGCUGGAAACUUUUUAAUGGAAACAUAGCACACACUUACUUCAUUUCAGAUUAUUAAAUUGUGUUAAGCCUUAAAGUUAGUUGCCAUUCUUUGCUGUAGCUCAUUUGUUCUUUUCAAUCCAGAGAAAUAUUAGAACGUUAAAACUUAUCACAUAGGAGGGUUUAAUCAUCCUACCAAAAUUAGACAGCAUGUAGCUCUGAAAGACUGAAUGUCAAAUUGUGUGCUCGUAGCCCUUAAACUACUGAGAAUCUAGGACCCCACUACUACAUUUAAAAUGACUGUUCAUGUUUGUGGAAAACCGUGGACGUUUAGGAACUGGUAAAGCUAGAGGUCUCUUACUCUUUGAUUAAGGUAAGGACAUUUAUCGUUUAUGUAAAUUUUUUAGAUUAAUUGCUGUACUGACAGUUUGAGAACAAUUCCUUUUGAAGGAAAAUGGAGAGGCAGGCAGUGUUCAUUGCUAUGUCCGGCAUAAAUACAGUAGUUAACAUAUAUAAAGUAGCCCAAAGAGUAUUGUGUUUAGCCAAAGCAUUCUGAGCUUCUCUUUAAUAAUUAUGAUUUCUUAAGUGGUGUUAAAAAGAAUUGUGCAAAGUACCUGUUCUACCAUAUUAUUGCUGUUUACAAGGGCUGGGUGUGAUGAGAAAAAGAAAUCUGGGUCAAAAUAAAAAAUGCUUUGUAAAAUAAACAAAGUUCCUAUUUACUUACUAUGUAUAAACAGCCACUCACCAAGCCUCAUUUCUCCGCAGGGCACCACUUUCAGAUAAAAACAUAGACCUGAAUGGCAUCAUCCAGUAUCCAAGGAAACCAUGU
Molecule: long non-coding RNA, 1341 nt
Filed under: Lynx pardinus (Iberian lynx)
Lineage: Eukaryota; Metazoa; Chordata; Mammalia; Carnivora; Felidae
Source: RNAcentral